This 29-nucleotide small RNA is filed under the name Bombyx mori (domestic silkworm). Its description in RNAcentral is "ovarian small RNA-8318". Lineage: Eukaryota; Metazoa; Arthropoda; Insecta; Lepidoptera; Bombycidae. The record is from RNAcentral.
UGAUCGAAGAUAUGUGUUACCUCAUGUGC